UCCGACCGGCCGGACACACAUGUGACCGGCCCACAAGUGGAGGCUCCGAUCUCCCACCCGACCGACCUCUGGUUGGCGGGUCAACGGUCCGGCUGCGCCCCGCGGAGACUUCGCGGCGGUGCUCCAGAUCUAUGUGGAGCCCCGCCUGUGUCCCGUCCGGGGCAUUUUUC
Small RNA from Streptomyces lydicus, 170 nucleotides. It matches the Rfam family "Streptomyces RNA 1601". From Rfam's summary of the family: Identified by deep sequencing of transcriptome at the end of exponential growth phase. The record is from Rfam. Lineage: Bacteria; Bacillati; Actinomycetota; Actinomycetes; Kitasatosporales; Streptomycetaceae.